AUUGACAUCACUGUUUGUCCCUUCCCUUCCCAAUACUUCCUCUGGACUCAUAGUCCAACUCUCUCAAACUGUAUCCUUAGCUUACCUGAGUUUCACUGUGGAUGGACUCUGUGAGAGUAGCUAGGAGCCCUGUGCUUGUGCUGUGGACACCACGUUUUCUUCUGGUGAGAAGAGGGUACUGGUCCAUGCCAUUAGCUCUCAAAGUUCAGUCACUUGGCUGUUGGCUGGUUAGGAGGGGAGCCCAGCUCCUGUGAGGGCCAGCAUGGAUUCCAGUUCUCUGGUGGCCCCCACAUGCAUGUUCUUGCUAUUCGGAUCCCUUGGCAGUCUAUGGUAAAUAACGGAGCAAAUUAUACUUGAAGGGGUUGAAUUUGGCUACUUUAAACAUUUCCUCCCAUGUUUAGCA
RNAcentral lists this long non-coding RNA (403 nucleotides) under Androctonus crassicauda. The record is from RNAcentral. Lineage: Eukaryota; Metazoa; Arthropoda; Arachnida; Scorpiones; Buthidae.